This 312-nucleotide ribosomal RNA is filed under the name Triticum aestivum (bread wheat). RNAcentral's name for it is "partial small subunit ribosomal RNA". The record is from RNAcentral. Lineage: Eukaryota; Viridiplantae; Streptophyta; Magnoliopsida; Poales; Poaceae.
AUGGUGCUGCUGCAAAAACACAGGGGAUGCAGGCGCCACGGAGGCACACUGGAACCUUGCAGCCAAGGUGGCCGGAGUCGCCCUUCCCCCCGCCCUAGCAACCGUGCUGUUAUGGUGGCUGGCGUCGCACUUCCCUUUUUUGCAGUCGCAGCCCGUGGCAAGGAUGCAACAGCGAUGUGGUUGCGUCUUUCCUCUUUGUUUUCAAACAUUGAACGGGGUUGGGCGGAGGAUGCAUCAAGGCGGCGUCCGGCGGCAGCCCCUGCCGAUUUUGUAGCUGCUACGGUGGUGCUCUUCAUGGGUACUCUCCUCUGA